UGCGUAGGCGGUCUUUCAAGUCAGGAGUGAAAGGCUACGGCUCAACCGUAGUAAGCUCUUGAAACUGUAAGACUUGAGUGCAGGAGAGGAGAGUAGAAUUCCUAGUGUAGCGGUGAAAUGCGUAGAUAUUAGGAGGAAUACCAGUUGCGAAGGCGGCUCUCUGGACUGUAACUGACGCUGAGGCACGAAAGCGUGGGGAGCAAACA
This 206-nucleotide ribosomal RNA is filed under the name uncultured bacterium. Its description in RNAcentral is "partial 16S ribosomal RNA". It matches the Rfam family "Bacterial small subunit ribosomal RNA", at positions 568 to 774 of the family's 1533-position model. The record is from RNAcentral.